RNAcentral lists this long non-coding RNA (261 nucleotides) under Oryzias javanicus (javanese ricefish). Its description in RNAcentral is "lncRNA (ENSOJAG00000015986.1)". The record is from RNAcentral. Lineage: Eukaryota; Metazoa; Chordata; Actinopteri; Beloniformes; Adrianichthyidae.
UCCCCGUUCUCUCCGGUCUGCCGGGUCGGUUUUGUUUUUGCCGGUUAACAGCCUCGGAAAUGUGUCGGUAGUUUUGAAUCCUCUUGUCGGCCCGCUUUGUGUUGGAGGAGAGUCAGUCUGAGGUUAAAACCACGCGGUUGCUGUCCGGUCUACCUGAACAGGUUGUCAUCAGUAUGAUGGUAGGUAGAAGCCUCUACUGGGAGAGGUUAGGCUGACCUCCAGAUACAUCUUUGGAACAUUGCAUCACAGUUUCUUAAAGUG